RNAcentral lists this ribosomal RNA (309 nucleotides) under Champsocephalus esox (pike icefish). RNAcentral describes it as "partial 12S ribosomal RNA". It matches the Rfam family "Bacterial small subunit ribosomal RNA", at positions 866 to 1341 of the family's 1533-position model. Lineage: Eukaryota; Metazoa; Chordata; Actinopteri; Perciformes; Channichthyidae. The record is from RNAcentral.
UAUCCGCCCGGGAACUACGAGCACCAGCUUAAAACCCAAAGGACUUGGCGGUGCUUUAGAUCCUACUAGAGGAGCCUGUUCUAGAACCGAUAACCCCCGUUCAACCUCACCUUUCCUUGUUUUUCCCGCCUAUAUACCGCCGUCGUCAGCCCACCCUAUGAGGGACUAAAAGUAGGCUAAAUUGGCACAGCCCAGAACGUCAGGCCGAGGUGUAGCGUAUGGAAGGGGAAGAAAUGGGCUACAUUCCCUAUGUUAGGGCACACGAAUGGUGUGCUGAAACGCACAUCUUGAAGGAGGAUUUAGCAGUAA